RNAcentral lists this long non-coding RNA (516 nucleotides) under Ovis aries (sheep). Its description in RNAcentral is "lncRNA (ENSOARG00000025575.1)". The record is from RNAcentral. Lineage: Eukaryota; Metazoa; Chordata; Mammalia; Artiodactyla; Bovidae.
UCAUGAAGUUUCAGCAGCAGGAUCUCACUUGUAGGGCCUCUUCCAAACAGACACUCUAUUUCAUUCCAAACUUUGGGUUGAUUGCUUUUCCUGCUUUGGCCACCUGAUGUGAGGAGCUAACUCAUUUGAAAAGACCCUGAUGCUGGCUGUUCCCUCUCCAUCUUCCCUGAGUUCCAGGAAGCUGACAUCCACUCCUUCAGGAAGUCCACGUAGCAGCUGCCAUCCUAGGUCACGCUGUCCAUCUCCAAGGAGGACAUCGUUUUAGUUGGGCUCCCCUGCUGUACAAUUCCAGAGGAUUUUCUUCACACAAAGUGGGAGUGAAAGAACAUCAUUUUUGUAGAAUGAUAGGGGAGAAAAGAAUUUCCUUUACCCUCCUAAGUCCAAUAGCCAGGUCUGUGAAAUAAAUUGACAAUUGUAGAUUAACAGGAGUAAAGGUUUACAAAUUUAUUAACUUAGAGUUACAUAUACAGAGACAUCACAGGAAAAAAAAAACUCCAAAAAUGAGUGAUAUAUGAG